CGGUGUUUAACUGGCGUGAUGUGGGACGUCCUACCGGUGGGCUUAGUCUCGCGAGGGGCGGCCCAACUAAUAUCCCGUCGCGGUGCUCUUUACUGAGUGUCGAGUCGGGCCGGUACGUUUACUUUGAACAAAUUAGAGUGCUUAAAGCAGGCUAUCCUCGCCUGAAUACUGCGUGCAUGGAAUAAUGGAAUAGGACCUCGGUUCUAUUUUGUUGGUUUUCGGAACCCCGAGGUAAUGAUUAAUAGGGACAGAUGGGGGCAUUCGUAUUGCGACGUUAGAGGUGAAAUUCUUGGAUCGUCGCAAGACGGACAGAAGCGAAAGCAUUUGCCAAAAAUGUUUUCAUUAAUCAAGAACGAAAGUUAGAGGUUCGAAGGCGAUCAGAUACCGCCCUAGUUCUAACCAUAAACGAUGCCAGCUAGCGAUCCGCCGAAGUUCCUCCGAUGACUCGGCGGGCAGCUUCCGGGAAACCAAAGCUUUUGGGUUCCGGGGGAAGUAUGGUUGCAAAGCUGAAACUUAAAGGAAUUGACGGAAGGGCACCACCAGGAGUGGAGCCUGCGGCUUAAUUUGACUCAACACGGGAAACCUCACCAGGCCCAGACACCGGAAGGAUUGACAGAUUGAUAGCUCUUUCUUGAUUCGGUGGGUGGUGGUGCAUGGCCGUUCUUAGUUGGUGGAGCGAUUUGUCUGGUUAAUUCCGAUAACGAACGAGACUCUAGCCUGCUAAAUAGGCGUACCUUAUGGUAUCGCGAAGGCCCCCGGCUUCGGCCGGUGGGUUUUUACUACCAACGUACAAACAAAUCUUCUAGAGGGACAGGCGG
This 818-nucleotide ribosomal RNA is filed under the name uncultured eukaryote. Its description in RNAcentral is "SSU rRNA". It matches the Rfam family "Eukaryotic small subunit ribosomal RNA", at positions 629 to 1426 of the family's 1831-position model. The record is from RNAcentral.